Molecule: long non-coding RNA, 896 nt
Organism: Aedes aegypti (yellow fever mosquito)
Lineage: Eukaryota; Metazoa; Arthropoda; Insecta; Diptera; Culicidae
Exons: 2
Source: RefSeq, a predicted model, not a curated record
GAUAGAAAAAUAGUAGUACGGUCAAAUAAACAAACGUUCUUAUUUUUACUAUGCCAUAAAAUAGUUACCAUGACCACGAAUAUGGUAAUGUGUAUAAAAAUAUCGUGACGACUACCACAAACUGUUAAUAAUUCCAAUAGUGAUAAUUACCAUGAAACAUAGUUCAUAAGAAUGUUUUGGAAGACUCCAUUUUUUGCUGCAGCUUCCGAAGCACCUAAAUUUUUGCCGCUAUAUAUUUUUAUUAUGAAUAUUCACCGUUGCUUUACCAUAGUUUUUUGAAGCGAAACUGCCUUGGUAAGUAAAUACGCAUCCAAGAGAACUGUUGUCCACUAAUGCUAAUCAUAUCCUGCUCGAUUUAACAGGUGUUGUAACGAACUCACGCCUCUAAGCACGAAACCAUAUCGGAGUGCAUCGGCGGAAUCUACCCCACGCUGGCCGAGUCACUGAGAACAUUCAACCCGAAGGAUGGUUCCAUGGCGGCCGCAAAUGGUUUUAGGAAAACGAUCUAUAAUUACGAAGUUAUCCACGCCACUGACAUUCCGGCCGCUUUUCAAGACAUGGGGCCAACCUGAACUGGAAGGUCAUCGAUGCGUACGCCUACCUGAUUCGGAAUGAAAUCCCCCAGCAGCUGGGCGAAAAACCAAUGCUAGCUGACCCGUUCCCUGUCCAUCGAGAAUGACGGCAUAAAUAUCCAUUGCAUCGCCGUUGGUCAAGCCGUAGCUGUCCAGGUAAUGAGGUUCGAUCCCAACCAACGAAUAUUGCUCGACCGAUCUCUUCAGCAGGAAAUCAGCUAUUAUUCACCGAAGAACAUACUUGCUGGCGGCAACAUCGAUAUAGUUAUAAUUAACGAUGUAAUUACAUAUCUACACCUGAGGAAUUAAAAUAAAACACCAAAA